This 480-nucleotide long non-coding RNA is filed under the name Fukomys damarensis (Damara mole-rat). RNAcentral's name for it is "lncRNA (ENSFDAG00000027896.1)". Lineage: Eukaryota; Metazoa; Chordata; Mammalia; Rodentia; Bathyergidae. The record is from RNAcentral.
GGAGUCUAGAUCAGACCAUUCUUAAGUAGAGACCAGUCAAGACACAAUGAAAGCCUGAGCUGGCACAGGGGAAAGAGAAGAAGAGAGAAACCUGAUUUCCUGGUUUGUUUGAUGAUGGAGACCAUUGGAGGAUACCACGGAUAGGAAAACGACAGAAACUGAAUGAUACAUCUGGUCUACCAGGUUUUGGCACACAACAAUGUUAUGCGAUGAACCAUUAUACGGGAAAACAGUGAUUAUGGAAAUAUGGCGAUGUUAAUUAAUGCAUUUCAAGCCACAAUAUCAAGCCAUCUCUACUUCUUCCUGAACACUCUUCUAGAAAGGAUGACAGGCACAGGACCUGCAACGGAGACAGUGUGUCUGCCACCAGCCGCUAAUGACUUGAUGAUGAAGAAAAUCCUUUCCUUUCCUUGUCUCCAGGGCAACAGAAGGAGCCUGACCAUAGAAUGCUGACAUGACAUUGUGAAAGUUACUACCACA